CCAGACUCCUACGGGAGGCAGCAGUGAGGAAUAUUGGUCAAUGGGCGGAAGCCUGAACCAGCCAAGUCGCGUGAGGGAAGAAGGCCCUGCGGGUCGCAGACCUCUUUGGACGGGGAGCAAGGCCGCCGACGUGUCGGCGGAAGGAGAGUACCCGUAGAACAAGCAUCGGCUAACUCCGUGCCAGCAGCCGCGGUAAUACGUAGGGGGCAAGCGUUAUCCGGAUUUACUGGGUGUAAAGGGAGCGUAGACGGUGCAGCAAGUCUGGAGUGAAAGGCAGGGGCCCAACCCCUGGACUGCUCUGGAAACUGUCGUACUUGAGUGCAGGAGAGGUAAGUGGAAUUCCUAGUGUAGCGGUGAAGUGCGUAGAUAUUAGGAGGAACACCAGUGGCGAAGGCGGCUUACUGGACUGUAACUGACGUUGAGGCUCGAAAGCGUGGGGAGCAAACAGGAUUAGAUACCCUAGUACA
This 467-nucleotide ribosomal RNA is filed under the name uncultured bacterium. RNAcentral describes it as "bacterial SSU rRNA". It matches the Rfam family "Bacterial small subunit ribosomal RNA", at positions 331 to 794 of the family's 1533-position model. The record is from RNAcentral.